This 567-nucleotide ribosomal RNA is filed under the name Bacillus cereus. RNAcentral describes it as "bacterial SSU rRNA". It matches the Rfam family "Bacterial small subunit ribosomal RNA", at positions 137 to 689 of the family's 1533-position model. The record is from RNAcentral. Lineage: Bacteria; Bacillati; Bacillota; Bacilli; Caryophanales; Bacillaceae.
ACUGGGAUAACUCCGGGAAACCGGGGCUAAUACCGGAUAACAUUUUGAACCGCAUGGUUCGAAAUUGAAAGGCGGCUUCGGCUGUCACUUAUGGAUGGACCCGCGUCGCAUUAGCUAGUUGGUGAGGUAACGGCUCACCAAGGCAACGAUGCGUAGCCGACCUGAGAGGGUGAUCGGCCACACUGGGACUGAGACACGGCCCAGACUCAUACGGGAGGCAGCAGUAGGGAAUCUUCCGCAAUGGACGAAAGUCUGACGGAGCAACGCCGCGUGAGUGAUGAAGGCUUUCGGGUCGUAAAACUCUGUUGUUAGGGAAGAACAAGUGCUAGUUGAAUAAGCUGGCACCUUGACGGUACCUAACCAGAAAGCCACGGCUAACUACGUGCCAGCAGCCGCGGUAAUACGUAGGUGGCAAGCGUUAUCCGGAAUUAUUGGGCGUAAAGCGCGCGCAGGUGGUUUCUUAAGUCUGAUGUGAAAGCCCACGGCUCAACCGUGGAGGGUCAUUGGAAACUGGGAGACUUGAGUGCAGAAGAGGAAAGUGGAAUUCCAUGUGUAGCGGUGAAAUGA